AUGAAACCAGAGAUCAAAUUUUGAAAGGCAAAUGGCAAAGAAAGAAGAAAGAUCAUUGCCAUUAGACAGAAAGAAAAGUUGUGUCAACAAGGGCCCAGAGGCAAGUUAUGCUGGGCAUGGGGUCUGGCUCCACUCUCAAAAUGUGCCUGGGAUGGAGAAUUGUGAGAGUUCAUGAACAGCACUGCCCAACAAUUUAUUGGAAGAGCAGCUGGAACCACAAAGCAAUUGUAUCUCUGGUAGAUAAAGCAUUCUCUCAACUGCUGGGGAAAUGUGUUUUGACAUCACAUUAGGAUUAAAUCAGUUAUGCAAUAUUU
Molecule: non-coding RNA, 314 nt
Organism: Equus caballus (horse)
Lineage: Eukaryota; Metazoa; Chordata; Mammalia; Perissodactyla; Equidae
Source: RefSeq, a predicted model, not a curated record